This 1250-nucleotide unclassified non-coding RNA is filed under the name Hevea brasiliensis (rubber tree). The record is from RNAcentral. Lineage: Eukaryota; Viridiplantae; Streptophyta; Magnoliopsida; Malpighiales; Euphorbiaceae.
GGAAAUUAGUUUGUGCUUUGCCAAUGGACGAGCUGUAACCAAAGAAAAUACAGUGGAAUCCCUUUCAUAACAAGUCAGCAAAUAUUAUUCAACUGUAUUAUUCGCCUCUGCUAAAGCACCAUUGAGUGGGAUCAUAGGUUCAUGACCCGGUAAAAAAGUUCUCCACCCUAUAUAUGAACUUACAUACAACGCACGCAUGGAGGACAAGCGACAAGUUCUGUCCAACCCAUUACAUCCAAGCUUGUGCAAACUAGGCAGUAGGCGAUACAGAUCGGGAGAAAGGUUACCGGGGCCAUAAAUUGGAGACCUUGUUUCACUUGGUCCACCAAUGAAGAAAAUCCCUCCUCCUGUUGAUCUUCUUCUGCAGCUGCAAAAUUCCAUAGAGUAACGCCUCGGCUGUGGGCGGGCAUCCAGGCACAUAAAUGUCCACAGGGACAAUACGGUCGCAGCCGCGAACCACAGAGUAUGAGUAAUGGUAAUAGCCACCUCCAUUGGCACAGCUGCCCAUAGAGAUCACCCACCUUGGCUCCGGCAUUUGAUCAUAAACCCUGCAAAUCAAGAAUUUUUGGCAAACCAGUUUCACAUAGCUAUAGAUAAAAGGCAUGAAUGUGAUAAAUCAAUGAUUUGAGAUAUACCUCCUUAAAGCAGGAGCCAUCUUAUUAGUUAGAGUUCCAGCCACAACCAUAACAUCAGAUUGUCUUGGGCUGGGUCUGAAAAUGAGUCCAAACCUAUCCAUAUCAUAUCUAGCAGCUGCAAGAUGCAUCAUCUCAACUGCACAACAUGCUAGCCCAAAAGUCAUGGGCCAGAUGGAACCUCUCCUUGCCCAAUUCACCAGAUCAUCCACCUUUGUUAUGGCAUACUCUGCCACCUUCGACAACCCAGUCGUUGGCGUCGCCGGUUUCCUUGAUCCAGCGUAUGUAACUGGAGAAGUUGACUUGGAUGAUGAUGAGUAAAGGGUUGGAACUGUUGUGUGUAUAAGAGAUGAAUUAUGGACGGAGAGUGGGGCUAAACGUGAAGCGGUUCUUGGUAAAAGAGCCAUGGCUGCAGUUGCACAGAAAGAAAGAUCAAAGUUACAGAAGAGAAAGAUUUAGGAAGAUAGAAUGCAAAGCUUCAAAUAUGCAAUGCCUUAAGAGAGAGGAGUCAUAAUUGGGGGGGUGCGGGUGUUGGGUUGAUAAGGUUUGGAUAUUAAUUAAUUAAUUAAUUUAGGUGAGAAAUGAUUGAUCAUAUCAAAAUAGAUUAUUCCAAUUUUU